CCCGAGUACACAAGAGCAGUAACAAGGAGCUCACGGUGCUAGGUUUAAAAAAAGGAGCUCACCGUGCUUCCCGACACACCAAGUUCCAAGUGUCUUGUUGUCAACCUGCUUGCCCCAAAGGCCACCGCCACAACAUUGCCGCCGUUGUUCAGGAGUCUAACGUGAUUGGGAGGGACCAUACCAGUAAUGCCGCAUGAUGAUGAAGACGAACAUGUGUUCCUCGCGGAUGCCUCUGCCCUGGUACACAAGAGCAGCAACAUGAAGCGCACACUGCUAGGUUUCAAAAGGAAGGAGCUCACGGUGCUUCCUGACACACCAAGGUAUUAUCACCGGUAACAACUGGAUAAAGUCGGUUUGCUAGAUGAA
Molecule: non-coding RNA, 366 nt
Organism: Lolium perenne
Lineage: Eukaryota; Viridiplantae; Streptophyta; Magnoliopsida; Poales; Poaceae
Source: RefSeq, a predicted model, not a curated record